AGGCCUGAAUAGAGAGGUAGGGUCUGAUUCGCAGCCUCUGUGGCAGCUGUUGAUCAGCUGUUGCCUCUCUGUCUCCGGGCU
Molecule: non-coding RNA, 81 nt
Organism: Myotis brandtii (Brandt's bat)
Lineage: Eukaryota; Metazoa; Chordata; Mammalia; Chiroptera; Vespertilionidae
Source: Rfam